This 211-nucleotide long non-coding RNA is filed under the name Linum usitatissimum (flax). Its description in RNAcentral is "long non-coding RNA (LUSI_LNC000214)". The record is from RNAcentral. Lineage: Eukaryota; Viridiplantae; Streptophyta; Magnoliopsida; Malpighiales; Linaceae.
AUAAGGAAUGUAGGUAGGUUGGGAAGUGGGAAGAGAUAAGCGUCUUGAUUUGUUAUAAGCGUCUUUGGAUUAUUUGUCGCCUACCAAUGCAUCACAAUCGGCCCGAGUAUUUUUUAGCCCAAUAUUCUUUAGUAUUUUGUUACUCCUGAAUCCUCUAUAAGAUAUUUUUAUGAAUGAUAGGAUUUUUUGGCCCAACUAUUAACUAAACAUG